AAACUGCUGCACUGUUCUUAGCAGGUUCUGACCUCCGUCCCUGGGAUGACCUGCUCCACUACAGCUGAUGUCUGCCUGAAGGUGGAGGUCAGGAGAGUCCCCACGGCAUCCGAACAUGGCGCCUCUUGACUUCCCCUCUUUCACCUUUUAUUUGAUGGUUUCCUGAAUCAGGGUCUCACAUAGUCCCAGUUAGCCUCAGAGUUGCUGUAAUCCUCCUGCCUCAGCCUCUCAUAUGCUGUGUCCCUAAGAGGACAGAGUAACAGGAACUUGGUGAAAGGAACAUGGGAUGUUGCCGUGAGGGACCUGCCCUCUUAAACCUUGGACUGUUCGUGUGGGGAAGGUGGAGGCGUUUGGAGCUUUGAACUGGAAAAGCCACUGUGGGAACUUGGAAGGCUCUUUGGCAAGGAAGGCUAUGUGGAAUUGGUCUAUCACCGUCUACACACGGUCUCACUGGUCUACCCUCCUGUCCUGCACUGUGGCUGUUGGCAGUCUCCAUCACUCUUCCCAGCACAGGAAGCUGGAAACUGGUCUGCUCAGAGUCUUCUAUAAUUAAGGUGGGAACUUUCUCCUGCAGUAGGGCCGACCUUGUUGGGUGUGGCCUUCAGGAGGAGUGCCUGCCACCGACACCCUCACACCGUUGGGGUAAUCCUGCUGGUUAUUGCAUGAAGAACCUCUAGGAAGCAGAUAGUGUCCACAGUGGUUCCCUUUGCUGUGUAAUUACUGCUGUGGACUGUCCCUCCACCAGGGCUGCUAACGUUGGCUGCCUCUGAAUCCAUUUCUACCUCAGCACUGAACACCACAGCGACUCCUAUAUUUUGGAGUACUUCCAGGGGCUGUGUGUUCUUUGUUGUUGAUUUUUAGACAGGGUUUCACUGCGUAGUCUAGGCUGGCCUGAAACUUGUUGAGGUCCACCUGCCUAUCUACUGCUUACAUCAAACCGUUCUACUGUUCACAAAACCUUGACUGAGAUAACUUUUUGUUCCGGUCACGCGGGCACUGCAGACUUCAGGCCACCUGGGCCAGGACUGCUUGCGGUACUGGUACUAGGCUUUGGAUUAGAGCUGGUGUUAGCCGGUGGCUACUGGGUGUCAGUUUUGCCACUCAUGGAGGUGAUGAUAGUGGUGUGGUAGUGGCUGCUCUUCCAGGGUUGCCAUGGCUCCAGGCUCUCUGGGAUUCUCUCUCCAUUCCUGUUAUUGAUCCAAUGCCAUCUGUCUGUCUGCAAAUUUGUUUUGCCUCCCAUGUGUGUACACCAAGUGCAUGCCAGAUGCCCCCUGAAUCAGGAGAGGGUGUUGAACCCCUAGAACUGGAGUUACAGAUGGUUGUGGGCUGCCAUGUUGGUGCU
Long non-coding RNA from Onychomys torridus (southern grasshopper mouse), 1342 nucleotides. RefSeq lists it as uncharacterized. The transcript is spliced from 3 exons. Lineage: Eukaryota; Metazoa; Chordata; Mammalia; Rodentia; Cricetidae. The record is from RefSeq and is a predicted model, not a curated record.